CUACACAGAUAGGCGGUACAUAUUCUAAAAUUGGAAUGAUACAGAGAAGGUUAGCAUGGCCCCUGCGCAAGGAUGACACGCAAAUUUGUGAUAUUAGGCAAUGACUG
Non-coding RNA from Octopus bimaculoides (California two-spot octopus), 107 nucleotides. The record is from Rfam. Lineage: Eukaryota; Metazoa; Mollusca; Cephalopoda; Octopoda; Octopodidae.